This 483-nucleotide ribosomal RNA is filed under the name uncultured bacterium. RNAcentral's name for it is "partial 16S ribosomal RNA". It matches the Rfam family "Bacterial small subunit ribosomal RNA", at positions 30 to 507 of the family's 1533-position model. The record is from RNAcentral.
UUGAACGCUGGCGGCAGGCCUAACACAUGCAAGUCGCGCGGAUGAAGGGAGCUUGCUCCUGGAUUCAGCGGCGGACGGGUGAGUAAUGCCUAGGAAUCUGCCUGGUAGUGGGGGAUAACGUCCGGAAACGGGCGCUAAUACCGCAUACGUCCUGAGGGAGAAAGUGGGGGAUCUUCGGACCUCACGCCAUCAGAUGAGCCUAGGUCGGAUUAGCUAGUUGGUGGGGUAAAGGCCUACCAAGGCGACGAUCCGUAACUGGUCUGAGAGGAUGAUCAGUCACACUGGAACUGAGACACGGUCCAGACUCCUACGGGAGGCAGCAGUGGGGAAUAUUGGACAAUGGGCGAAAGCCUGAUCCAGCCAUGCCGCGUGUGUGAAGAAGGUCUUCGGAUUGUAAAGCACUUUAAGUUGGGAGGAAGGGCAGUAAGUUAAUACCUUGCUGUUUUGACGUUACCAACAGAAUAAGCACCGGCUAACUUCGUG